This 323-nucleotide ribosomal RNA is filed under the name Enterobacter asburiae. Its description in RNAcentral is "bacterial SSU rRNA". It matches the Rfam family "Bacterial small subunit ribosomal RNA", at positions 782 to 1104 of the family's 1533-position model. The record is from RNAcentral. Lineage: Bacteria; Pseudomonadati; Pseudomonadota; Gammaproteobacteria; Enterobacterales; Enterobacteriaceae.
AUACCCUGGUAGUCCACGCCGUAAACGAUGUCGACUUGGAGGUUGUGCCCUUGAGGCGUGGCUUCCGGAGCUAACGCGUUAAGUCGACCGCCUGGGGAGUACGGCCGCAAGGUUAAAACUCAAAUGAAUUGACGGGGGCCCGCACAAGCGGUGGAGCAUGUGGUUUAAUUCGAUGCAACGCGAAGAACCUUACCUACUCUUGACAUCCAGAGAACUUAGCAGAGAUGCUUUGGUGCCUUCGGGAACUCUGAGACAGGUGCUGCAUGGCUGUCGUCAGCUCGUGUUGUGAAAUGUUGGGUUAAGUCCCGCAACGAGCGCAACCC